GACGAACGCUGGCGGCGUGCUUAACACAUGCAAGUCGAGCGGUAAGGCCCUUUCGGGGGUACACGAGCGGCGAACGGGUGAGUAACACGUGGGUGACCUGCCCUCAGCUCUGGGAUAAGCCUGGGAAACCGGGUCUAAUACUGGAUAUGACUCCAUGACGCAUGUUGUGGGGUGAAAGCCUUGUGCGGCUGAGGAUGGGCCCGCGGCCUAUCAGCUUGUUGGUGGGGUGAUGGCCUACCAGGCGACGACGGGUAGCCGGCCUGAGAGGGCGACCGGCCACACUGGGACUGAGACACGGCCCAGACUCCUACGGGAGGCAGCAGUGGGGAAUCUUGCGCAAUGGGCGAGAGCCUGACGCAGCGACGCCGCGUGAGGGAUGACGGCCUCGG
Molecule: ribosomal RNA, 389 nt
Filed under: uncultured bacterium
Lineage: Bacteria
Description: bacterial SSU rRNA
Rfam family: Bacterial small subunit ribosomal RNA
Source: RNAcentral